RNAcentral lists this ribosomal RNA (1488 nucleotides) under Bacillus stercoris. Its description in RNAcentral is "bacterial SSU rRNA". It matches the Rfam family "Bacterial small subunit ribosomal RNA". The record is from RNAcentral. Lineage: Bacteria; Bacillati; Bacillota; Bacilli; Caryophanales; Bacillaceae.
CAUGGCUCAGGACGAACGCUGGCGGCGUGCCUAAUACAUGCAAGUCGAGCGGACAGAUGGGAGCUUGCUCCCUGAUGUUAGCGGCGGACGGGUGAGUAACACGUGGGUAACCUGCCUGUAAGACUGGGAUAACUCCGGGAAACCGGGGCUAAUACCGGAUGCUUGUUUGAACCGCAUGGUUCAAACAUAAAAGGUGGCUUCGGCUACCACUUACAGAUGGACCCGCGGCGCAUUAGCUAGUUGGUGAGGUAAUGGCUCACCAAGGCGACGAUGCGUAGCCGACCUGAGAGGGUGAUCGGCCACACUGGGACUGAGACACGGCCCAGACUCCUACGGGAGGCAGCAGUAGGGAAUCUUCCGCAAUGGACGAAAGUCUGACGGAGCAACGCCGCGUGAGUGAUGAAGGUUUUCGGAUCGUAAAGCUCUGUUGUUAGGGAAGAACAAGUACCGUUCGAAUAGGGCGGUACCUUGACGGUACCUAACCAGAAAGCCACGGCUAACUACGUGCCAGCAGCCGCGGUAAUACGUAGGUGGCAAGCGUUGUCCGGAAUUAUUGGGCGUAAAGGGCUCGCAGGCGGUUUCUUAAGUCUGAUGUGAAAGCCCCCGGCUCAACCGGGGAGGGUCAUUGGAAACUGGGGAACUUGAGUGCAGAAGAGGAGAGUGGAAUUCCACGUGUAGCGGUGAAAUGCGUAGAGAUGUGGAGGAACACCAGUGGCGAAGGCGACUCUCUGGUCUGUAACUGACGCUGAGGAGCGAAAGCGUGGGGAGCGAACAGGAUUAGAUACCCUGGUAGUCCACGCCGUAAACGAUGAGUGCUAAGUGUUAGGGGGUUUCCGCCCCUUAGUGCUGCAGCUAACGCAUUAAGCACUCCGCCUGGGGAGUACGGUCGCAAGACUGAAACUCAAAGGAAUUGACGGGGGCCCGCACAAGCGGUGGAGCAUGUGGUUUAAUUCGAAGCAACGCGAAGAACCUUACCAGGUCUUGACAUCCUCUGACAAUCCUAGAGAUAGGACGUCCCCUUCGGGGGCAGAGUGACAGGUGGUGCAUGGUUGUCGUCAGCUCGUGUCGUGAGAUGUUGGGUUAAGUCCCGCAACGAGCGCAACCCUUGAUCUUAGUUGCCAGCAUUCAGUUGGGCACUCUAAGGUGACUGCCGGUGACAAACCGGAGGAAGGUGGGGAUGACGUCAAAUCAUCAUGCCCCUUAUGACCUGGGCUACACACGUGCUACAAUGGACAGAACAAAGGGCAGCGAAACCGCGAGGUUAAGCCAAUCCCACAAAUCUGUUCUCAGUUCGGAUCGCAGUCUGCAACUCGACUGCGUGAAGCUGGAAUCGCUAGUAAUCGCGGAUCAGCAUGCCGCGGGUGAAUACGUUCCCGGGCCUUGUACACACCGCCCGUCACACCACGAGAGUUUGUAACACCCGAAGUCGGUGAGGUAACCUUUUAGGAGCCAGCCGCCGAAGGUGGGACAGAUGAUUGGGGUGAAGUC